This 253-nucleotide ribosomal RNA is filed under the name uncultured bacterium. RNAcentral describes it as "partial 16S ribosomal RNA". It matches the Rfam family "Bacterial small subunit ribosomal RNA", at positions 524 to 776 of the family's 1533-position model. The record is from RNAcentral.
UACAGAGGUGGCAAGCGUUGUUCGGAAUUACUGGGCGUAAAGGGCGCGUAGGCGGUCCGAUAAGUCCUGUGUGAAAUCCCUCGGCUCAACUGAGGAACUGCACGGGAGACUGUCGGGCUUGAGUUCGGGAGAGGGAAGCGGAAUUCCGGGUGUAGUGGUGAAAUGCGUAGAGAUCCGGAGGAACACCAGUGGCGAAGGCGACACGCUGGGCCGUACCUGACACUGAUGCGCGACAGCAUGGGGAGCAAACAGG